The sequence is a transfer RNA, 107 nucleotides long. It matches the Rfam family "tRNA". Rfam says of the family: Transfer RNA (tRNA) molecules are approximately 80 nucleotides in length. Their secondary structure includes four short double-helical elements and three loops (D, anti-codon, and T loops). The record is from Rfam.
GCGUUUGUGGUUUAGUGGUAAAAUCCAUCGUUGCCAUCAACCUCUUCUUCAUCAGAAGAGAGUGAAACAACCUCGAUGGGCCCCGGGUUCGAUUCCCGGCGAACGCA